Molecule: long non-coding RNA, 412 nt
Organism: Gallus gallus (chicken)
Lineage: Eukaryota; Metazoa; Chordata; Aves; Galliformes; Phasianidae
Source: Ensembl
AUCCCCGUCAAGCAGCAGCACCAUUAUUUGUGCCCUUGCAAGCAAGGAAGCUAUUUUAUCCUUGGAAGGAAAGAGAGAUGUUAUCUUCUAGUAAAGAGGAGCCCCGCUUUCAGGUUGCAUUUGUUGCAAGGAACAGGCUGGAGGAAGGUGAUGGCUGGAGAAGAGCUGAGCUGACAGACCUGUGACCACACGAACCCAAAAGGGGCAGCCUGCAGCUGCACCGCCCAGCACCCAGAGGCUGAGACCGUGAUGAUAGGAAUACACUCAAAGAAAGCAAAGGAGCAGCAGAGGACCCGCAGCAGCCGGGCCGGGGCCGUGCUCGGUAUGCGGGCUCUCUCUGGUGGUUGCAGGCAGCAGCGCACAGUGCUCACCGCACAGCGCAGAGCGUACAGCACGCGUUGCACACACAGCA